RNAcentral lists this ribosomal RNA (436 nucleotides) under uncultured bacterium. RNAcentral describes it as "bacterial SSU rRNA". It matches the Rfam family "Bacterial small subunit ribosomal RNA", at positions 29 to 508 of the family's 1533-position model. The record is from RNAcentral.
AGCGAACGCUGGCGGCAGGCUUAACACAUGCAAGUCGAGCGGGCGUAGCAAUACGUCAGCGGCAGACGGGUGAGUAACGCGUGGGAACAUACCUUUUGGUUCGGAACAACACAGGGAAACUUGUGCUAAUACCGGAUAAGCCCUUACGGGGAAAGAUUUAUCGCCGAAAGAUUGGCCCGCGUCUGAUUAGCUAGUUGGUGAGGUAACGGCUCACCAAGGCGACGAUCAGUAGCUGGUCUGAGAGGAUGAUCAGCCACAUUGGGACUGAGACACGGCCCAAACUCCUACGGGAGGCAGCAGUGGGGAAUAUUGGACAAUGGGCGCAAGCCUGAUCCAGCCAUGCCGCGUGAGUGAUGAAGGGCCUAGGGUUGUAAAGCUCUUUUGUGCGGGAAGAUAAUGACGGUACCGCAAGAAUAAGCCCCGGCUAACUUCGUGC